GCAGUGUAGCACAAAUAUAACAACAGUAAACAUGCGAAAUUGGUUUUUUUAGUCAUCUGAACUCUUUCAGUAUCACUAGUUCAACUCCAUCUGGCCCUAUCCAGGAAAAAUCAGCCCUCAUGAUCACUGCUUCAUAGACACUUUACUAACUCGUUCACUUGUACAAACUAAUUCAAGUAUUUUGACUAGUUUUAGCACACUGAUAACAAACAAAAUAAAGCACAAAAAAUACAGCAAAACAGAUGAUUAGACAGACAUAAACUCAAUACAGUCAAGUCUGUGAGAAAUCAAGUGGAUAAUCAAGUUAGUGAAAAGGACCUAACUGGUUUGUUUGUUCAGACACUAUUCAAAUUUCGAGAUAGGCACAAGAAUUUUGUUCUUCAGAAUAUGCCAGAAAGGUAAAAUGGAGAGAUUCCUACGUUACCACCCCGAAAUAUAUGGCGAUGACACUGUGGAAUUUUGGUGUCUUAACACGCAGAUGAGCAUAUUCUGUCCUCUUGAUGGCCAGCAAAGUGGAUAGCAUAAAAUUACUUACUUGUCUCUCCUUGGUUGACAAUUUCAAGUACUUGGUAAAUAAAAAUAUUCAAGGGUGGCAUUAACCUUGUACUCAGAAAAUUAUGAUGAAACACUUUCAAAGCAGGUCCCUCUAAACUAUUAAUUUCUCCAAUGUUCUAUAGGAGUGUAUUCUCAAACAUCAAUAUUUGAGCUAUUCAGUGAAUACCUGAAACACCAAAGGUUAUUAAUAUGGUGGGGCCCCAAACACCUUUGGCUAAGUUAAGACAUAGUCUAAAACUUGCUCUCAAUGGAUGUGUAUUAUUUAGUCAUGAAUACAUUUUCCUUAUAUAUGAGUUAAAUCAUAUUUUAAUGUUUUACCUCUGGGAGUUUGCAUAGCUUGGAAGUUAAUAAGCAUAGACCCUAACAAGUGAUAUUAGAAAGUCUGUGUUGAAUAGUUAAGGAAUUUCUUCAACCAAAGUUGUUUAUCAAAAAUCUUAAAAUGAUUUCCAGCUACAACAAUUACAAUAAAAACACAUAGUGGCAAUUUGACUGUUUAUAAUCGAUAUUCAAU
RNAcentral lists this long non-coding RNA (1066 nucleotides) under Heterocephalus glaber (naked mole-rat). Its description in RNAcentral is "lncRNA (ENSHGLG00000036704.1)". Lineage: Eukaryota; Metazoa; Chordata; Mammalia; Rodentia; Bathyergidae. The record is from RNAcentral.